Lepidothrix coronata (blue-crowned manakin) is the source of this 492-nucleotide long non-coding RNA. RefSeq lists it as uncharacterized. NCBI's taxonomy places the organism in Eukaryota, Metazoa, Chordata, Aves, Passeriformes, Pipridae. The transcript is spliced from 3 exons. The record is from RefSeq and is a predicted model, not a curated record.
CCCUGUGGGGACUGUUCAGUCGCCCUCCUGGAGCCCAAAAGAUUCCCCCAAAGUCCUGUUAUCUGGUGGAACUGAAAGCCCCAGAGCUGGAAGGCUCCUGUCAGUGCCCUCUGGAGUGAUAAGAGUUUUAUCACGCAGUGUGUCUCUGCCAGGCUACGCUUUGCAGAAGUGGUGACAGAAGGAGAAGGAACCAUGACAUCCCUCACAGCCUCAGGAGGGUGUUUAUGUACCACUUGCAAGGGGCAAAGAAGGUGCCACCCUGAUAAUCACCACUCCAAACAAAGGCAUGAAGCUGAUUCAGUGAUAUACAAUGAACCACUCACCCGAGUCCUGCACAACCAUCAGCAAUCUCCCAAAACUCAGCCCUCUGAUUUUCAGCAUGUUUUCUGAGAAGCUCCAAUGUCAGCAAAAGCACUAACUAGGACAGUACCUUAUGGACAGUGUAAGCUGGCAGAUUUUCCCUCUGAACAUAUGGAUCUCACUGAUAAAGCC